This 350-nucleotide ribosomal RNA is filed under the name Exiguobacterium acetylicum. Its description in RNAcentral is "bacterial SSU rRNA". It matches the Rfam family "Bacterial small subunit ribosomal RNA", at positions 1043 to 1394 of the family's 1533-position model. The record is from RNAcentral. Lineage: Bacteria; Bacillati; Bacillota; Bacilli; Caryophanales.
GCAUGGUUGUCGUCAGCUCGUGUCGUGAGAUGUUGGGUUAAGUCCCGCAACGAGCGCAACCCCUAUCCUUAGUUGCCAGCAUUCAGUUGGGCACUCUAGGGAGACUGCCGGUGACAAACCGGAGGAAGGUGGGGAUGACGUCAAAUCAUCAUGCCCCUUAUGAGUUGGGCUACACACGUGCUACAAUGGACGGUACAAAGGGCAGCGAGACCGCGAGGUGGAGCCAAUCCCAUAAAGCCGUUCCCAGUUCGGAUUGCAGGCUGCAACUCGCCUGCAUGAAGUCGGAAUCGCUAGUAAUCGCAGGUCAGCAUACUGCGGUGAAUACGUUCCCGGGUCUUGUACACACCGCC